UACGUAGGUGGCAAGCGUUAUCCGGAAUUAUUGGGCGUAAAGCGCGCGCAGGCGGUUUCUUAAGUCUGAUGUGAAAGCCCACGGCUCAACCGCGGAGGGUCAUUGGAAACUGGGGAACUUGAGUGCAGAAGAGAAAAGCGGAAUUCCACGUGUAGCGGUGAAAUGCGUAGAGAUGUGGAGGAACACCAGUGGCGAAGGCGGCUUUUUGGUCUGUAACUGACGCUGAGGCGCGAAAGCGUGGGGAGCAAACAGG
Molecule: ribosomal RNA, 253 nt
Filed under: uncultured bacterium
Lineage: Bacteria
Description: partial 16S ribosomal RNA
Rfam family: Bacterial small subunit ribosomal RNA
Source: RNAcentral